Thamnophis sirtalis is the source of this 1831-nucleotide non-coding RNA. The record is from RefSeq and is a predicted model, not a curated record. Lineage: Eukaryota; Metazoa; Chordata; Lepidosauria; Squamata; Natricidae.
UGGAGAGCCGGUUGCUGGGCCUGGUGGAGAGCGGCGGGAGAUGCCUGUGAACGACCGCCGCCGCGAAGGCCGAGGGAAGGGCACCCGAGCCGAGCCGGGGAAUCUUACUGGCACCAGUCAGCCGGAGACGCUGGGGAGGUGGCGGUGAAUUGACUGAGGUGGUCUGGGGUGAUGCGGCUGUUUAGAAAGGCAGUCUCGGCUCGCCAGAGGAGCCUUUGCUCGCUUGCCCAGCCGCCGCUUCGAAGCGAUUCCUGCAGGCUGCUCCUGGGUCAUUUGAGCCUUGCCUGAAGGGGGGCCUUUGACUCUGCCCAGGAGGGAGAGGCGGCCGCUGCCAGGCUGGAGCUGGGCCUUCCUUGGGGCCGAGGGCGAGGGGUUUCUGUGUGACGGGGCUCACUGGAGAUGAGCUCUCCUUGCUGUGCCUGCAGGAUCUGCCUCUACACCCACUGACGCAUGCCCAUUGCCGCCCUCUCUCCUGGAUUUUGCAGACACUGAUGCCAUUGCGGUCAGGAUAUUUCUUCUGGGAUGAGAAGCCCUUGGAUUUACCCAAGGAAUUGUGGAUGAUGGUGGACCAUCUGUACCAUAAUGCUUGCCAAAAGAAGGACCUGUUCCAGCAACCUGGUCUUCGAGCUGAGUUUCCAGAGAUCCGUGACUGCCUGGACACAGGAAUGUUGGACACACUUGACCUAAGGCUAUCAUUGCCUUGUGUUGGGGACUUCAGAUGUAGGUGCUGUAUGACUGCAGUGUGGAGAGUGCCGGCAGCUACAGCCUGAGUAGUCAGGUAAGAGAACCCAGGGAGGAGCAGGAAUGUGCAUCCUGGGCAUCUCCAGGUCAGCAGUGUCUCUCCUCCUCUUUUCCAGAUAGGUUCCAUGCUCCCCGAGUGCCACAAAAGUGUCUUCAAUUGUCUGAUGGUAUUUCUAUGGGAACUGCUACGACAUUCUGAGAAAAACCACCUGGAUGGGCAUAUCCUUGUGAUUUAGAUGGUGAUGGAAAAGGAACUCAUCAACUUUGCAGAUAACACCAAGCUGGCAGGAUAGGCUCAAGAUCAAGACGACUCUCAACAGAAUUGAACUUAUCAAACAAAAUGAAGUUCAAAGGUGAGAAAAGAAAGGUUUUACACCUAGGCAGGAAGAACCAAAUGCAUAGAAUAGGUGGUACCUGGCUCAAUACCUGGUGGUACCUAGUAUUAAUGAGUCACCACUUAAAUAUGAGCCAGCAAUGUACUGCAGGAGCCAACAGAGAGAUUGUCAGGGUUCCAAGUAACACCCCCAACGCAAGGCUCAUAGUUCCUCAAAGGUCCAUUUUAUUAGAAAUGUCAUAUUGGCACAUCUGGGAAAACCCAAAUCUGAAAGCUUCCCAACUCCCUUUCCCUGCACCCACAUCCAUCACAUGGUCCAAUCAAUAAACUGUCCCAACUGGAGAUACCUCCCACACUACUCCAGGUGCAGGCCAAAUGUCCCUGGCCCUCAGAGAAAGGAAUGUUAUUAUGACUAUGCAAUCCCCCCUCCCAGUUUCCCACAGCACUAAGUGUGGCAGCCUGGAAGAUCCAAAAAAAAAGAUGGCCUCCAGGGCUGACAAGAUUACACGAAAUGCUAGUAGUACUUAAUACUGCACUGGUAAGACAACUUAAAAUACUGCAUCCAUUUCUGAUCACUAUGAUGCAAAAAAAUAAAAAUAAAUGCUGACACCCUAGAAAGACUGCAGAGAAGAGCAAUAAAGGUGAUAAAGGAUCUGGAAGUUAAACAUAUGAUGAACUAUUCAGGAAUAUUUAGCCUAAGAAAGAGAAGGAUUAGAGUAAGGUGACCAGAUUUUCAGAUUGGUAAAGAGGGACACU